ACUACGGGUGGCAGCAGUGGGGAAUAUUGCACAAUGGGCGCAAGCCUGAUGCAGCCAUGCCGCGUGUGUGAAGAAGGCCUUCGGGUUGUAAAGCACUUUCAGCGGGGAGGAAGGCGGUGAGGUUAAUGACCUCAUCGAUUGACGUUACCCGCAGAAGAAGCACCGGCUAACUCCGUGCCAGCAGCCGCGGUAAUACGGAGGGUGCAAGCGUUAAUCGGAAUUACUGGGCGUAAAGCGCACGCAGGCGGUCUGUCAAGUCGGAUGUGAAAUCCCCGGGCUCAACCUGGGAACUGCAUUCGAAACUGGCAGGCUAGAGUCUUGUAGAGGGGGGUAGAAUUCCAGGUGUAGCGGUGAAAUGCGUAGAGAUCUGGAGGAAUACCGGUGGCGAAGGCGGCCCCCUGGACAAAGACUGACGCUCAGGUGCGAAAGCGUGGGGAGCAAACAGGAUUAGAUACCCGUGUAGUC
Molecule: ribosomal RNA, 465 nt
Filed under: uncultured Klebsiella sp.
Lineage: Bacteria; Pseudomonadati; Pseudomonadota; Gammaproteobacteria; Enterobacterales; Enterobacteriaceae
Description: bacterial SSU rRNA
Rfam family: Bacterial small subunit ribosomal RNA
Source: RNAcentral